UCAGGACGAACGCUGGCGGCGUGCUAAUACAUGCAAGUCGAACGCUUUUUCUUUCACCGGAGCUUGCUCCACCGAGAGAAAAAGAGUGGCGAACGGGUGAGUAACACGUGGGUAACCUGCCCACCAGAAGGGGAUAACACUUGGAAACAGGUGCUAAUACCGUAUAAUAAGUAAAACCGCAUGGUUUUACUUUGAAAGGCGCUUUUGCGUCACUGGUGGAUGGACCCGCGGUGCAUUAGCUAGUUGGUGAGGUAACGGCUCACCAAGGCAACGAUGCAUAGCCGACCUGAGAGGGUGAUCGGCCACAUUGGGACUGAGACACGGCCCAAACUCCUACGGGAGGCAGCAGUAGGGAAUCUUCGGCAAUGGACGAAAGUCUGACCGAGCAACGCCGCGUGAGUGAAGAAGGUUUUCGGAUCGUAAAACUCUGUUGUUAGAGAAGAACAAGGAUGAGAGUAAAACGUUCAUCCCUUGACGGUAUCUAACCAGAAAGCCACGGCUAACUACGUGCCAGCAGCCGCGGUAAUACGUAGGUGGCAAGCGUUGUCCGGAUUUAUUGGGCGUAAAGCGAGCGCAGGCGGUUUCUUAAGUCUGAUGUGAAAGCCCCCGGCUCAACCGGGGAGGGUCAUUGGAAACUGGGAAACUUGAGUGCAGAAGAGGAGAGUGGAAUUCCAUGUGUAGCGGUGAAAUGCGUAGAUAUAUGGAGGAACACCAGUGGCGAAGGCGGCUCUCUGGUCUGUAACUGACGCUGAGGCUCGAAAGCGUGGGGAGCAAACAGGAUUAGAUACCCUGGUAGUCCACGCCGUAAACGAUGAGUGCUAAGUGUUGGAGGGUUUCCGCCCUUCAGUGCUGCAGCUAACGCAUUAAGCACUCCGCCUGGGGAGUACGACCGCAAGGUUGAAACUCAAAGGAAUUGACGGGGGCCCGCACAAGCGGUGGAGCAUGUGGUUUAAUUCGAAGCAACGCGAAGAACCUUACCAGGUCUUGACAUCCUUUGACCACUCUAGAGAUAGAGCUUCCCCUUCGGGGGCAAAGUGACAGGUGGUGCAUGGUUGUCGUCAGCUCCUGUCGUGAGAUGUUGGGUUAAGUCCCGCAACCA
RNAcentral lists this ribosomal RNA (1099 nucleotides) under Enterococcus sp. N8. Its description in RNAcentral is "bacterial SSU rRNA". It matches the Rfam family "Bacterial small subunit ribosomal RNA", at positions 24 to 1095 of the family's 1533-position model. The record is from RNAcentral. Lineage: Bacteria; Bacillati; Bacillota; Bacilli; Lactobacillales; Enterococcaceae.